AGCAGAGAAAUAAUUUGUCCGCAAAGACGGUGACGUCGCUUAGCAACGGAAGACUGAAGGGAAAAACGGUCUGUCUAGUUACUGGACCAGAUGAAAUGAGACGGAGAGGUAAUAAAGUCUGUCGGCACGAGGACCUUGGAUUUAUUAAGUAAAGUGGCAACGGUUAUACAGAGUCAUAAGCGUGAGAAAUCGAAUAUGUCUAAGUCCCUAAUCAGCGCUGAUGGUUCGUCCGGAGCUUCGCCUCCGUGGAAGGUCUGCUUCAGAAGAAGGUGAAGAGUCUCUGUGUGAUACAGUCUUAUACUGUAUCUUCCUCCUGAUGAGGUGUGUGCGUUUGAGAUGUGUGUGGUUCUGUGUGUUUUACUUGACCUUGGCUCCCAGGCCCUGCUGUGUAUGCCUCCUAACGGGGGAGAGCUCCUCGUUCCUCGUGAUGAGGUGUGUGCGUUUGAGAUGUGUGUGUGGUUCUGUGUGUUUUUACUUGACCUUGGCUCCCAGGCACUAGUGUAUGCAUGUAUAUCUUCUUGUGUUCCUCCUCACGGGGGAGAGCUUCAGAGCAUCUCCUGUUGUGGUCCUCCCGUUCUUGAGGAUGACUGGUGCAUUGUCUGAGUGUCUACCAUCUGCCGGGAGGAGAAAUGGGGCCCUGGCUCCGGCCCUGACCUGACUAUAUUCUCAUGUAUGUGUUAUGUGUUAAAAGUUGACUAUAUUAUAAGGUGACUGCCAUGUGAUGUGCUCAUUAAGCUAGGGUAGGAGUUAGCUAUAUUUAUAAUGUACAUGUGAUGUGCUCAGCAGGUUAUUUUGCCCAACAUGAGAGACCAGGAACCAGCAGAGAUGUUCCUAACAGAGCAAGAAGAAGAGCAAGAGGUCGCCGGGGACGUGGACCUGCUGUUCUUACUCAUGAUGAUUUACUCAGAGUUCAGCAAUUUCAGCAGGAGAGGAUUGCCGCUGAGCAGGCUAGAAUUCAAGCUCUAGACAUCACACAGUCUCAUGAGCUGCUUCUGACCUGCCUGGAAAGGGACCCAAGCAUGCUGUUUGACCUGAUGGCACGAUUCCCAAAUUAUUUGAACACCCGGGCAACCAGAGUGGUGUGUCUGUGGCAGAUGCAGGCAGAUGAUUAGAGACAUUGAGAAGGUGUGCUGCCGACAAACGCUGGACAAUUGCAUCUCUGUCCUGCCUCACAUGGAUGCAUUCAUCUUGCAGCCGGGGGUCCUCCGCAUGGCUAGACGCAUCUGGAAUGACUCCCGAGCAUUAGAAGAUGCACAAACACCGGGGGAAAGCCACAGGCAGUUCCGCUUUUCUGCAUAUAGACAGUAUAUCAUUUAGCAGUAUGGUCAACUUGGACAAGGCCACAGAGUUGUCAUACCAAAUUGCUCUGUUUGGAGAAUACGUGAAAAAUACCCAGACCCCAAUGGGAUCUACAAAGGUUUUAUCCCUAGCCGAAAUGGUAUAGAUGAGGAAUAGACUCCAGCCCAGUGUACCCUGCCCUGUGAAUU
Molecule: long non-coding RNA, 1487 nt
Filed under: Gadus morhua (Atlantic cod)
Lineage: Eukaryota; Metazoa; Chordata; Actinopteri; Gadiformes; Gadidae
Description: lncRNA (ENSGMOG00000032662.1)
Source: RNAcentral